Molecule: ribosomal RNA, 381 nt
Filed under: Triticum aestivum (bread wheat)
Lineage: Eukaryota; Viridiplantae; Streptophyta; Magnoliopsida; Poales; Poaceae
Description: partial small subunit ribosomal RNA
Source: RNAcentral
AUGCCAUGCCAGCUGCUAAUACAAAGUUUCUCAUGCUACAAGACUUUUCUGGGAGCAAAAAGUUGGGCUAUACAGUCUGCACUACUAUGCUUUGGAAAUAUAGCAUAUGACGAGCAGACGGGUAAAGAGGUUGAAGUUGGAUCUGCAGGGCAUGGUCCACUGGCCAAUUCUUCUUCUCUACCUGGAGUUGGUGUUCCAAAAACAUGCUCGAUUGUUAUAUGUAUCAAAUACAGUCUCUUCCAGUGGUGGACAUUAAUUUCUCUCCCUUUCUUGACCCUGCAUAUCUCUGAAGAAGUGCUAAGCUCCACUGAAUUUGGUCAUGUUGGGCACCACCGUCAUCAUACCAAGCAUGCUUGUUCCUCAAAUGGGAGGUGGAAAUGA